AUUACCUUGUUUAUUUCCACUGACCCAUGUUGUUGUAUAGUUCUUCCUGAUCCGGUGAGUACUCCUCGCCUUCUUCGGCUUGCGGUACCCACUGGGAGGGGAGACAUGUUUACAUGUUCUCACCUCCCCCACCAUUUUUCAGGUAUCGCGGGCGUUGAGUAGUGGGACGAGACGUGAGGUACGUGUGUAGCGGUCGAUAGAGCUUCCGACCCAGGUUAUUUCGAUUUAGCUAUUACCCUUUUUAUUUCUGUGGAUAUUUAUAGCUUAGUCGGUCUACAUGGUUCAGUUUUGUUUUAUUAUUUGAAUAUCUGAGUUUUCAGUUGGUUUUGGAAUGUAAUAAAGGAAUUGUGUUUACUUGAAAUAAAAGGUUUUCUACCCCUCGCGGUAGCGUUUUUAAAGAAUAAAGGUUUCCGUAUAGGAAACAGUUUUCAAAAGGUUUUCUGUGGAUUUUGCAUCUUAGUAUUUCAAAACCUGUUUCUGUGGUUGGAAACAUUUUAACUGAUAGAUGUGGAUUUAUGUUUAAAUAUCGAUUAUAUAAAUGUGAACCUAUGAUGUGAAUGGUGUAUGAAUAUAUAAUUGUUGGUUAUUUGUAUGUUCAUCUGGUUGUGGUUGUAUCUGGGUUACUUCUUGUAUUUGUGUGACGCCGU
RNAcentral lists this long non-coding RNA (647 nucleotides) under Ananas comosus (pineapple). RNAcentral's name for it is "long non-coding RNA (ACOM_LNC020028)". Lineage: Eukaryota; Viridiplantae; Streptophyta; Magnoliopsida; Poales; Bromeliaceae. The record is from RNAcentral.